CAACCCUCAAGCUCUGCUUGGUAUUGGGCCUCGCCGUCGCGGCGGGCCUUAAAAUUAGUGGCGGUGCCGUCGGGGCUCCAAGCGCAGUCGCAUCUCUCGCUUUGGAGGAUCCGGUGGUGUCCUGCCAGACAACCCCCUAAUUUUACUAU
Molecule: unclassified non-coding RNA, 149 nt
Filed under: uncultured Leotiomycetes
Lineage: Eukaryota; Fungi; Ascomycota; Leotiomycetes
Description: sequence contains ITS2
Source: RNAcentral